This is an unclassified non-coding RNA of Macaca fascicularis (crab-eating macaque), 148 nucleotides long. It matches the Rfam family "Metazoan signal recognition particle RNA". From Rfam's summary of the family: The signal recognition particle (SRP) is a universally conserved ribonucleoprotein. It is involved in the co-translational targeting of proteins to membranes. The eukaryotic SRP consists of a 300-nucleotide 7S RNA and six proteins: SRPs 72, 68, 54, 19, 14, and 9. Lineage: Eukaryota; Metazoa; Chordata; Mammalia; Primates; Cercopithecidae. The record is from Ensembl.
GCUGGGCAUGGUGGCACAUGCCUGUAAUCCCAGCUACUCGGGAGGCUGAGGCAGAAGGAUCGCUUGAACCCAGGAGGCAGAGGUUGCAGUGAGCCGAGAUCAUACCACUGCACUGCAGCCUGGGUGACAGAGCAAGACUCUGUCUCAA